This is a long non-coding RNA of Dendronephthya gigantea, 253 nucleotides long. RefSeq lists it as uncharacterized. The transcript has 3 exons. The record is from RefSeq and is a predicted model, not a curated record. Lineage: Eukaryota; Metazoa; Cnidaria; Anthozoa; Malacalcyonacea; Nephtheidae.
GUGUAUACCAUAUUACAAAGAGGAGUUUGCCAGCACAUUGGUUCUGCGGUUGUAUGAAACAACCAGAAUGUAUUUGGGCUAACGAUUUUGAUGAACCAACGAAGCUUCGACGAUUCUUUGUUCGUUCCUCUAAUUCCGAAUUGAAGUUGUUCUUGCGUAGUCUGGCGAAAAAAGAGGUGAAGAGUAGGAGAGUGACAUUAUUUAUUCAAAGUUUGGCUGGUAAUACGAAUGCUGAUAAUCUUUUGAAACAAAA